This 800-nucleotide ribosomal RNA is filed under the name uncultured stramenopile. RNAcentral's name for it is "SSU rRNA". It matches the Rfam family "Eukaryotic small subunit ribosomal RNA", at positions 1 to 816 of the family's 1831-position model. The record is from RNAcentral.
AACCUGGUUGAUCCUGCCAGUAGUCAUACGCUUGUCUCAAAGAUUAAGCCAUGCAUGUCUAAGUAUGAACAUUUAUACUGUGAAACUGCGUACGGCUCAUUAAACCAGUUAUAGUUUAUUUGAUAUUCCCCUACUACUCGGAUACCCGUAGUAAUUCUAGAGCUAAUACGUGCGUCAAACGGCAUAUGUCGUGUCAUUAUUAGAUAGAAACCAAUGCGCUUCGGCGGUAUUGUGGUGAGUCAUGAUAAUUUAGCGGAUCGCAUGGCCUCGCGCCGGCGAUGGAUCAUUCAAGUUUCUGUCCUAUCAGCUUUGGAUGGUAGGGUAUUGGCCUACCAUGGCUUUAACGGGUAACGGAGAAUUAGGGUUCGAUUCCGGAGAGGGAGCCUGAGAGACGGCUACCACAACCAAGGUAGGCAGCAGGCGCGUAAAUUACCCAAUCCUGAUUCAGGGAGGUAGUGACAAAAAAUAACUUAGUCGGGCCGUUUUCGGUCUGACUUUAGGAAUGAGAACAAUUUAAAUCCCUUAUCGAGGAUCAAUUGGAGGGCAAGUCUGGUGCCAGCAGCCGCGGUAAUUCCAGCUCCAAUAGCGUAUAUUAAUGUUGUUGCAGUUAAAAAGCUCGUAGUUGGAUUUCUGGUCGGAGCGCUAGGCCGGCUCCGCAAGGGGUCGCGCUGUGUUUCUUCGUCCAUCCUCAGGGGAACCGGCGCUGGUAUUCAUUUAUCGGCGUCGGGACGCCUGUCGUUUACUGUGAACAAAUUAGAGUGUUCAAAGCAAGGUGUACUUGAAUACAUUAGCAUGGAAUA